AAGAGAGAGAGAGAGACAGACAGAGAGGAGAAGGAGAACUAGACAGAAAGAGGCAGACGAGGAAAAAAGACUUUCUUUUUCUUUCUAGAGGAAUUCUGCCCAGACCCAGCAGCAGUUGGUAGCAAGCAAGCUUUCUCCUGGGUGUCUCCUGGAAAAGUUGCAAAAUUGCUCUUCACCUGUAAGAACAUGCUCUUUAUCUUCCAGUCUCUUCUUGUCAAUUUGGAAACUGCAGACAGCCUGGCUCAGAAGAGAAGACUUGGGGUUCAGAGCCGCCCCCCCUCUCCUGCAGUGGAAAUGGACUUCCCUCGGGUCGAGUACAGAACUUCCCACACAGGCGGGUGGGUGAGUGCCCUUGGCGUUGCCCUCAUUGAUCCGGCUGGACACCAGAAACAGAUAAUCUGGUGAGCAGCUGAGGCACAGACUACCUGGGCUCCCACUUAGAGGCUGAUAUAGGACUGAAGAAGCAGCUGCUCUGUCAAACCUAGAGAUCUUGAACCUGAGGGCUGUGGACAUAUUCUUUGUAUCUUCCCUGCAGCUUGGCACCAGGUAGGCCUGUUAGGAACCUCUUAAAUGUUUCUUACGUAAAGAAGUUGCUCCCUGGGGGAAGAAGAAGGCAACGAUUGCCACUCAAGAUGACUCUGUAUCCUGGAAGGAUGGCAGCCCUGGGCCACAGGGGGGCUGCCGAGUUGUUGGGCAGAGAUGGCUUGGGUGACCACAGAAGGGAAGAUCCCUUAAAUGGUGUGACUUUCAUGGCCCUUCCGUAAAGCUUUCGCAAACUGGCCAACGCGGUCAUUCUCUGCCGCGCUCUGAUCCUUUUCAAGUUGUUGAAGUCACUCAGCGGAUUAACAGGGCAUUGCCCUGGCUUUCUCAAAGGCACACGCACAGAACCGUUUAAUGCCAUUUUCAAGGGCACAAGGACAGAGAUCUGAGAGCCUCGCCAAUGAACACAGAAUAAAACCAUCACCACCACCAAACAGGAUAACACCUGAUGGGGGAACGCGUGCCUUCCCAUUGCCUCUGUCCUGCACGCUCUCUGCUGAAACUCCCUGCUUUCCAUUCCCACUUACUGGGUCCCGCACCUCAAACACGGAGGAGGGACUGUGCCACCCCAGACACAAGAAAUUUUGACCGAGUUGGUGCCUUCACCCGGAGCUAAUCUUACUCCUGGAGCCGUAAACAUGAUGGCCGAAGUGACAGCCUGGCUACAAAUCCGUCUGGGCAGCUUCAUUAGACAUCUCUCGCCUGACUGAUUAAACUGCGUUUAAGGCCCACUUUUAUUUUUUCAAGCCUUUUGUUUAAAUUAAAAGGUCAUGUUUUCAAGCAAAUAAUCUGCUGCUUCCCUCAAUCCAGCACCAUAAUACAGUUACAUUAUUACUAGUCUUAUCCCAAGUGGUGAGUCGGCUGCCCAGGCACAUGGGCCCCGGUCCCUCCCCUGGGCACAGCCAGGACACUGGGGAAGGGGACAGUUUAUUUAUUUGCAGUAGAACAAAGUGAGGGGGACUGGCUGGGAAACAAUCAAGUUGUUCCUUCACAACAAAAUCCAAAUGGGUUCCUAAUGGGAAAACUGGGUUCCAUACGUAGGACACACCUACAAUUUGAAAUCACUCCUUUCAGAUUUUAGUGGAGGCUUUUUUCUUUGAAUGGACAGUUUCGUAAACCUCCAUAUUUUAUCACUGUCCACUUUUACAAAAAUAACCAAUCAACUUUCUCAGAGCGUGGAUUAUUUACUGCCUCAAGGAAACAGAAACCCACACCGCACCUUAAAUAAUACAUGCUAACUUUUUAUGGUAAUGCAUCACAGGGUUUUUAUUAUGUAUCAGAGCAGGCCCACACUCCUGAGCCCUUCCUGGGGGCCUUCAAGCCACACAAGGGAACGUCACUUACUCUUUCCUGAGACUUUUCUGCUGGUGUGAUGGCAGAUUCAGAAUAAUCAUCCGAGGGAGAAACCAUUACCCAGCUCUUUUAACUUUGUGGACAACCAGAGAAGGCUAUUCCCCAUAUAUUUCACAGCAGGCCCAGGAUGAGGAAUCUGAAAACUAGAGGCUGCAGAUGCGGGCAAGCUCUGGUUGCAAGAGAGGAAGAAACCGUGUUUGCAGCCCUAUUUUUGCCUUUGUCUCCCACGGUUUGUACUGUUUAUAAUGCCUGCCUUUAUUUCAUAAUGUAUUUACCAUGCCUCAGUGUGAGACCAAUUCCUUUGUCAUGAGUGGAUGAAAGAAGCCAGGUCAGGAAGCAUCCACACAGGUGUGGGAUUGAUGCUGGGAACGAAAGUCUUAUUUCCUAGUGCUGAUAUUUUUCAUUUAUUAGUUACAGAAUUUUGAGUUUUAUCUGUUACUAAAUUCUACACAAAAUUGAUUUUUGGAUUAGAUUUUGUCUUUUUUUUUUUUAACAUUUUAAAUUAUAAUUAAAUCCUCCAUAAUCAUAAAGGGUUGAGGAGAACUGCUGUUGGCAAACUCCUACUGAGCGUCAGUAACUCGGUGUGAACAGGGUUAGUGAACCAUAUUAAAGAAAGAGUAUUGCCUUUUCAUUUUCAUUUCAAUGAGAUUCUGUUUAUAAUAAAUAAAUCUGCAUAUUGAUACUGCAAAUAAAAUCCAAAAAUUAAAAAAAAAAAACUCCACACAUGUUUUCAUGCACUUGAAAUGUAAACAAUUUCCAUUGAAUUUUGCUGGGCUGUCUGAACCACAAAGCCCAAGUUCUUGACACACAUUCAUGUCAGCCUAUUUGUGGGAGACUCUGCUGCUGCUGACGUGGAAAGAGUACACACACAGGCACUGACAAGAAAGAGAGUCGAGAUUUUUAAACUUACAGGAUUUUUUGGAUUUUCAUCUCUCUAACUUCUGAUGCUAAAAAUCAAAGCAAAACAAGAAACCUGGUUAUAGAAAAUAAAAUUCAGGUAAUGAUAUCAAGACAUUACACAACCUAAAUAAUAUAAAUCAGUUUAAAUACAAUGAGCUUUAAAUGAUUCUGGCUCUAAAAUUUAGACUCAUGAUGAAAAUAUAUUUGAAAGGUAGAAGAUUCCAAAGUAUAUUUAUCUGCUUGUGAAUUGUAUUAAGAAACUAGAGUUUUAAGCUUUUUUUAAAAAAAUUGUCAUAAAAUAACAUUAACACAUUCUCCUAACUCAGGAUCACUUGAGAUAUUUAUUAUGUGAGUAGACUCCUAGUAGUUUUAUAAAGUUCAAACCCUAAAGUAAUUUUAAACCUUAAAAUUUGUAUAAGUCUUUUAAGUAAGGAAACACAUAUGGAAAGUGAUUUGUACCUAGUAAGUGUCUAGCAAAUGUUGGUUGUUGUUACUUUGUUAUUAGAGUAGUUUCUAGACAAAUAUCUGACUACUAAUGAUCAAAGUAAUUAAUAUUCUACAACUUCUAUUUCUGAUCCUAUAUUUCAAAAAAGUAAGCCAAACAUUACUUAUAGAAGACAAAGAAAUAAAUAAAAGUAAAUAAUUUCCAAAAUGUUUUCAGAUACCAAGACCUGAAAAUUAAGUUAAUGAUAACAAUUUUAGGAAAGGUGUAAAAAUUUCCUCCAAAUAGCAGUGCCAGAUUGGCAGGAAGAAGGAGUAAUGUUUUUCUGGUCUUUCAUAUGAUGUUUCUAAUCUGAAAAUAAGAGUCUAUUUGAAAAUCUCUACCAAGUGGGUCUGAAUCCAAAUAACUUACUAUUUGUUCCACUCAUUAAUCAUGUAAGCUCUAAAUAUGUUUUUGAGAAAAGUAUAUUAAUAUUGACAGGCAUAUUUGGCAAAGCAAUAUCAGCUAUACACAAAAGCCAUUUUAAACAGCCUCUUUAAUAAGGUAGGAGAUGAAAAAUACCAGCUCACAAGAGUAUGUGUUUAAUUAGGAGGUAUACUGUACUCAGGGACAUUCUAAUGAAUAAUAAAUGAUGUUUUAUUUCCUGUAUCUGAGACACAAAGCCAAAUCAUCAAGAAUCAAAGCAACUCAAAGUAUUAGGUAACAAUCAGUAAACUUGGGCAAGAUCCUUUUUCCCUCUCAAGUUUAAUUGGCUCAUUGUUCCCAGGAACUAUAAACCAUGGGGUUGGUGGCAGAGCUGAAGUUUACUUCUAUAAAGGAAGAUUAACAUAUUCUGGAACUUUACACUAAUCCUUGUUUUGAGUUAACUCAAGCAGAUUGGAUUAGUAAUUCUUACCUACCACCCACUAGAAGGGACCCCGGCUUCGCUUCUUUGACAACCAGUGGUAUUGUACACCUUCUGUGCAUUAUCUUCCACUGAAAAUGUCCUGGGGAAAGAAAUUGUGUUACAGGGAGAAAGAAACUGUUUUACAUGGGGGUGGGGGUGGGGAGAACCAAGGCCACUCAAAGCUAAGGCCGGUAGUUUCUCUAUUAUCAGCUUGGUGCACAUUUGGUUAAUUCAGGCAGUUGGUGGGGUAUUCUAAGAAGUUCAUUAAACAUUUCCUCGUCACUGAAUUGGCUUUUCUCUGCCCCCCAUCUGGGGAGGGCUGAGGCUGAAAGGCAAGAAGAAAGGCUUCUCCCUUACAACCCUCUAGAACCGUUUCCAUAUUCUUUCUUUCCUUGUCCCUUCAACUCUCAGAUAGGAACAACAACAACAAAAACCUGAACAAUUCCCUAGGGGGAUGAUUAUUUACCCCUGCUUUUAUAAGUACAAUGAAUUUAUAUACCUAUUGACAUGGCGUCUUUAUAGAAGGAAAAUGAACAAAAUCAAGUUCUGCCAAACUACAAGAAAGAUGCCCUUGGCCUGUAGGUUCAGAUCUCACAGGUCUAUGUUUGUUACUGUUUGCCUAAAGAAUUUUGAUUUUCCUGUGGUUGCCAAGGAGGAGGGGAAGGGAGUGGGAUUCAUUGGGAGCUUGGGGUUAAUAGAAAACUAUUGCCUUUGGAAAGGAUAAGCAAUGAGAUCCUGCUGUAUAGCACUGGGAACUAUACCUAGUCACUUACCAUGGAGCAUGAUAAUGUGAGAAAAAGAAUGUAUAUGUGUAUGUGUGACUGGGUCACCUUGCUGUACAACAGAAAAUUGACAGAACAUUGUAAACCAGCUAUGAUGGAAAAAAUAGAAAUCA
This 5016-nucleotide long non-coding RNA is filed under the name Sus scrofa (pig). RNAcentral's name for it is "lncRNA (ENSSSCG00045018130.1)". Lineage: Eukaryota; Metazoa; Chordata; Mammalia; Artiodactyla; Suidae. The record is from RNAcentral.